GCGGACAUAGCUCAGUUGGGAGAGCGUCAGACUGAAGCGGGUCCUCUGGGACUUGGAAAACUUCAUUCAAUCAAUCUGAAGGUCGUGUGUUCAAUCCACACUGGCCGCA
This 109-nucleotide transfer RNA is filed under the name Colletotrichum orbiculare MAFF 240422. Its description in RNAcentral is "tRNA-Phe for anticodon GAA". It matches the Rfam family "tRNA". Rfam says of the family: Transfer RNA (tRNA) molecules are approximately 80 nucleotides in length. Their secondary structure includes four short double-helical elements and three loops (D, anti-codon, and T loops). Further hydrogen bonds mediate the characteristic L-shaped molecular structure. tRNAs have two regions of fundamental functional importance: the anti-codon, which is responsible for specific mRNA codon recognition, and the 3' end, to which the tRNAs corresponding amino acid is attached (by aminoacyl-tRNA synthetases). tRNAs cope with the degeneracy of the genetic code in two manners: having more than one tRNA (with a specific anti-codon) for a particular amino acid; and 'wobble' base-pairing, i.e. permitting non-standard base-pairing at the 3rd anti-codon position. The record is from Rfam by way of RNAcentral. Lineage: Eukaryota; Fungi; Ascomycota; Sordariomycetes; Glomerellales; Glomerellaceae.